Molecule: ribosomal RNA, 472 nt
Filed under: Geobacillus thermodenitrificans
Lineage: Bacteria; Bacillati; Bacillota; Bacilli; Caryophanales; Anoxybacillaceae
Description: bacterial SSU rRNA
Rfam family: Bacterial small subunit ribosomal RNA
Source: RNAcentral
AGAGUUUGAUCAUGGCUCAGGACGUACGCUGGCGGCGUGCCUAAUACAUGCAAGUCGAGCGGACCGAACGAGAGCUUGCUCUUGUUCGGUCAGCGGCGGACGGGUGAGUAACACGUGGGCAACCUGCCCGCAAGACCGGGAUAACUCCGGGAAACCGGAGCUAAUACCGGAUAACACCAAAGACCGCAUGGUCUUUGGUUGAAAGGCGGCUUCGGCUGCCACUUGCGGAUGGGCCCGCGGCGCAUUAGCUAGUUGGUGAGGUAACGGCUCACCAAGGCGACGAUGCGUAGCCGGCCUGAGAGGGUGACCGGCCACACUGGGACUGAGACACGGCCCAGACUCCUACGGGAGGCAGCAGUAGGGAAUCUUCCGCAAUGGACGAAAGUCUGACGGAGCGACGCCGCGUGAGCGAAGAAGGCCUUCGGGUCGUAAAGCUCUGUUGUGAGGGACGAAGGAGCGCCGUUGAAUAAGG